Long non-coding RNA from Humulus lupulus (European hop), 316 nucleotides. RefSeq lists it as uncharacterized. The record is from RefSeq and is a predicted model, not a curated record. The transcript is spliced from 2 exons. Lineage: Eukaryota; Viridiplantae; Streptophyta; Magnoliopsida; Rosales; Cannabaceae.
AGUCCAGUAAACAAACUCGUGACACAUCCUUGGCACUAAAGUGAUGGACAAAAACAAGCAGUUGAUUAUUUUCUCUUUGGCAAUUUGAUGCUGGUGGAAAACUAUUGCAUAAAUUGGAUACUAAGCUUGCAGUUAGCUCUAAUGGGGAGGAUGAACUCGCGAGCCUUAUUCAAACGUAAGGUUAUAUCAAACCUCGUUAGUUUAUUAAUAAUCAAAACAAACUAUGUGAAGUUUUGAAGAAAGAGAAAGAGAAAAUUGAUUAGACAAAUGGCCAUCCUUGUAGAGAUAAAAGGAUAUGAGUGUUCUUUGGACACAA